Molecule: small nucleolar RNA, 150 nt
Filed under: Myripristis murdjan (pinecone soldierfish)
Lineage: Eukaryota; Metazoa; Chordata; Actinopteri; Holocentriformes; Holocentridae
Source: RNAcentral
CUUCAGUGAUGAUACGAUGACGAGUCGGAAGAGGACACGGUCUGGUUCUGUGGGUUACUGGACCAGGUCCACGUUCUGUGGUUCUGGUGUGGUUCCUCAGGCCGGGGUGUCCUUUUCAGUUGAAGACAUAGAGGCAUUUGUCUGAGAAGG